RNAcentral lists this microRNA precursor (72 nucleotides) under Ornithorhynchus anatinus (platypus). Its description in RNAcentral is "mir-1421 microRNA precursor family". It matches the Rfam family "mir-1421 microRNA precursor family". The record is from Rfam by way of RNAcentral. Lineage: Eukaryota; Metazoa; Chordata; Mammalia; Monotremata; Ornithorhynchidae.
UGGUGUUAGGUGGGCAUGUGGUGCAGUAUGAUAGUGGAAUAUACUGCAUCGCGUGUGACCUCCCUACACGAC